Molecule: transfer RNA, 77 nt
Filed under: Candidatus Dojkabacteria bacterium
Lineage: Bacteria
Description: tRNA-Ala
Rfam family: tRNA
About the family: Transfer RNA (tRNA) molecules are approximately 80 nucleotides in length. Their secondary structure includes four short double-helical elements and three loops (D, anti-codon, and T loops). Further hydrogen bonds mediate the characteristic L-shaped molecular structure. tRNAs have two regions of fundamental functional importance: the anti-codon, which is responsible for specific mRNA codon recognition, and the 3' end, to which the tRNAs corresponding amino acid is attached (by aminoacyl-tRNA synthetases). tRNAs cope with the degeneracy of the genetic code in two manners: having more than one tRNA (with a specific anti-codon) for a particular amino acid; and 'wobble' base-pairing, i.e. permitting non-standard base-pairing at the 3rd anti-codon position.
Source: RNAcentral
GGGCCCUUAGUUCAUUUGGCUAGAACGCUUCUAUGGCAUAGAAGAGGUGAGCGGUUCGAAUCCGCUAGGGUCCACCA